RNAcentral lists this unclassified non-coding RNA (353 nucleotides) under soil metagenome. RNAcentral describes it as "partial contains 5.8S ribosomal RNA, internal transcribed spacer 2, and large subunit ribosomal RNA". The stretch from base 1 to 120 matches the Rfam family "5.8S ribosomal RNA", at positions 35 to 154 of the family's 154-position model. The record is from RNAcentral.
GAUGAAGAACGUAGCGAAAUGCGAUAAGUAAUGUGAAUUGCAGAAUUCAGUGAAUCAUCGAAUCUUUGAACGCACAUUGCGCCCGCCAGUAUUCUGGCGGGCAUGCCUGUUCGAGCGUCAUUACAACCCUCAGGCCCCCGGGCCUGGCGUUGGGGAUCGGCGGAAGCCCCCUGCGGGCACAACGCCGUCCCCCAAAUACAGUGGCGGUCCCGCCGCAGCUUCCAUUGCGUAGUAGCUAACACCUCGCAACUGGAGAGCGGCGCGGCCACGCCGUAAAACACCCAACUUCUGAAUGUUGACCUCGAAUCAGGUAGGAAUACCCGCUGAACUUAAGCAUAUCUAUAAGCGGAGGA